RNAcentral lists this ribosomal RNA (253 nucleotides) under uncultured bacterium. Its description in RNAcentral is "partial 16S ribosomal RNA". It matches the Rfam family "Bacterial small subunit ribosomal RNA", at positions 524 to 776 of the family's 1533-position model. The record is from RNAcentral.
UACGUAGGGGGCGAGCGUUGUCCGGAGUUACUGGGCGUAAAGCGCUUGUAGGCGGUCCACCAAGUUUGGGGUGACAGUUGCCGACUUAAUCGGCAAAGUGCCUCAAAGACUGGCGGACUUGAGGGCCACAGAGGGACAUGGAACUCCAGGUGUAGUGGUGAAAUGCGUAGAUAUCUGGAGGAACACCGGUGGCGAAGGCGGGUCUCUGGGCCGGUACCGACGCUGAGGAGCGAAAGCGUGGGGAGCGAACAGG